ACGAACGCUGGCGGCGUGCUUAACACAUGCAAGUCGAACGAGACGAUUUAGAAGCUUGCUUUUAUUGAGUCGAGUGGCAAACGGGUGAGUAACGCGUAGACAACCUGCCGCAAAGAUGGGGACAACAGUCCGAAAGGACUGCUAAUACCGAAUGACGUAUCCAUUCCGCAUGGAGAGGAUACCAAAGGCCGGGCAACCGGUCACUGAAGGAUGGGCCUGCGUCUGAUUAGCUAGUUGGUGGGGUAACGGCCCACCAAGGCGACGAUCAGUAGCCGGUCUGAGAGGAUGAACGGCCACAUUGGGACUGAGACACGGCCCAAACUCCUACGGGAGGCAGCAGUGGGGAAUCUUCCGCAAUGGGCGCAAGCCUGACGGAGCAACGCCGCGUGAGUGAAGAAGGUUUUCGGAUCGUAAAGCUCUGUUGAGAGGGACGAGAGGCAAGGCUAGGAAAUGAGCUUUGUAGGACGGUACCUUUCGAGGAAGCCACGGCUAACUACGUG
RNAcentral lists this ribosomal RNA (500 nucleotides) under uncultured bacterium. RNAcentral's name for it is "bacterial SSU rRNA". It matches the Rfam family "Bacterial small subunit ribosomal RNA", at positions 29 to 507 of the family's 1533-position model. The record is from RNAcentral.